Molecule: ribosomal RNA, 432 nt
Filed under: uncultured bacterium
Lineage: Bacteria
Description: partial 16S ribosomal RNA
Rfam family: Bacterial small subunit ribosomal RNA
Source: RNAcentral
ACGAACGCUGGCGGCAUGCCUAACACAUGCAAGUCGAACGAGACCUUCGGGUCUAGUGGCGCACGGGUGCGUAACGCGGGGGAACCUGCCCUUAGGUUCGGAAUAACUCCCCGAAAGGGGUGCUAAUACCGGAUAAUGUCUUCGGACCAAAGAUUUAUCGCCUUUGGAUGGGCCCGCGUUGGAUUAGCUAGUUGGUAGGGUAAAAGCCUACCAAGGCGACGAUCCAUAGCUGGUCUGAGAGGAUGAUCAGCCACACUGGGACUGAGACACGGCCCAGACUCCUACGGGAGGCAGCAGUGGGGAAUAUUGGACAAUGGGCGAAAGCCUGAUCCAGCAAUGCCGCGUGAGUGAUGAAGGCCUUAGGGUUGUAAAGCUCUUUUACCCGGGAUGAUAAUGACAGUACCGGGAGAAUAAGCUCCGGCUAACUCCGUG